GACGAACGCUGGCGGCGUGCUUAACACAUGCAAGUCGAGCGGAAAGGCCCUUCGGGGUACUCGAGCGGCGAACGGGUGAGUAACACGUGAGUAACCUGCCCCAGACUUUGGGAUAACCCUCGGAAACGGGGGCUAAUACCGGAUACGACACAGCUUCGCAUGGGGUCUGUGUGGAAAGUUUUUCGGUUUGGGAUGGGCUCGCGGCCUAUCAGCUUGUUGGUGGGGUGAUGGCCUACCAAGGCGACGACGGGUAGCCGGCCUGAGAGGGCGACCGGCCACACUGGGACUGGGACACGGCCCAGACUCCUACGGGAGGCAGCAGUGGGGAAUAUUGCACAAUGGGCGGAAGCCUGAUGCAGCGACGCCGCGUGAGGGAUGACGGCCUUCGGGUUGUAAACCUCUUUCAGCAGGGACGAAGCGUAAGUGACGGUACCUGCAGAAGAAGCGCCGGCCAACUACGUG
RNAcentral lists this ribosomal RNA (462 nucleotides) under uncultured bacterium. Its description in RNAcentral is "partial 16S ribosomal RNA". It matches the Rfam family "Bacterial small subunit ribosomal RNA", at positions 28 to 507 of the family's 1533-position model. The record is from RNAcentral.